RNAcentral lists this ribosomal RNA (253 nucleotides) under uncultured prokaryote. RNAcentral describes it as "partial 16S ribosomal RNA". It matches the Rfam family "Bacterial small subunit ribosomal RNA", at positions 525 to 777 of the family's 1533-position model. The record is from RNAcentral.
ACGUAGGGCGCAAGCGUUGUCCGGAAUUAUUGGGCGUAAAGAGCUCGUAGGCGGUUUGUCGCGUCUGCUGUGAAAACCCGAGGCUCAACCUCGGGCCUGCAGUGGGUACGGGCAGACUAGAGUGUGGUAGGGGAGACUGGAAUUCCUGGUGUAGCGGUGGAAUGCGCAGAUAUCAGGAGGAACACCAAUGGCGAAGGCAGGUCUCUGGGCCACAACUGACGCUGAGGAGCGAAAGCGUGGGGAGCGAACAGGA